Gasterosteus aculeatus aculeatus (three-spined stickleback) is the source of this 3307-nucleotide long non-coding RNA. The record is from Ensembl. Lineage: Eukaryota; Metazoa; Chordata; Actinopteri; Perciformes; Gasterosteidae.
UUCUUCUUCUUCUUCUUCUUCUUCUUCUUCUUCUUCUUCUUCUUCUUCUUCUUCUUCUUCUUCUUCUUCUUCUUCUUCUUCUUCUUCUUCUUCUUCUUCUUGUUCUUCUUCUUCUUCUUCUCUCGCAUAAACACUCUCACGACACUUCCCAUUUAUCUGGUGACCCUUUUUAGGGGCCUCACCCCCCAGGUUGGGAACCGCUGGAUUGUAUUUGUUGACUGUGUACAAACUUCAAUGAUGAAUAUUAAUAUUAUAUGAUCUCACUUUGAACAUUUAAGCACAUUUUGCUACAUCACUUAUUACCACGUUCAUCUAAGCAGGUUCAUGGAGUAUUUUUACAUUCUGACUUCAGUCAAUGAUCUGAAUUCUCCACCAAUCACAAACGCCGCCUCCUUUCGUGGUUGUGGUUAAACGCGUGAGCUGGUAUCCACGCGCCACGAGAGGAUCCUUUCUGACUGAUCUAUUUCGGGUCCUUCGGCCUGAAGCGGAGCAGCUGCACUUAUUAUGUGCAAUGCAACGCGGAUCCAACAGGCCGGCGCGGCGCGUGCGAUUAGGGCCCGUAAUCAUUACGAAAUGCUAUUAUUCAGCAAACGCGCCGCCCGGAGUCGACCUCGCGGCAUCCCGUCCCUCACACGUGUUACAGGAAGUGUCUCGUCCAGGUGAUGGCCGCCAGAGGACCACUUCCUGCCCCCCCCCACCCAAAAAACAACAAGGUUCAGCUGAAAUGAAGUGCUGUUGUUGCCCCGUUGGAAUGCCUGUGUUGUGUCUUUGUUAUUGUUUAUUCAGUUGUUCCACAUGGUUCCACCAUGAAAUCAGCAGCAUCAGAUUGAGACUGAAAAGCUGUGUGUGUGUGUGUGUGUGUGUGCGUGUGUGUGUGUGUGUGUGUGCGUGCACACUCUGGGAUCCAGCUGCGUUGCACACUGCAGAUGUUCUCAGAUGAACCAGUUUGUUAAUUCAACUUCGACUCUCUCGUACACAUUUACAUAACGUCAGAACGCCUUUAUAUAUAUAUAUAUAUAUAUGGGGAGGGAGGGGCUUAAGUUUAUUGGAAUUUAGAACCAUGACCUUCUGUACAAAAUAUGGUGCAACCUGAACUGAAGAGUGAAGUUGAGGCUUCAUGAGUGAAAGCUGCGUUCUCUGCAGUGACCAGCAGGGGGCGACUCCUCUGGUCACAGAGAAUCAGACGGAAGACACGGAGGCAAAGCUAAUGACAGAUGACGGACAAAUGCCAAAUUCAUGACCAGGCAUGCAGCGAGCUUAAGGUCAUGACGUGCAGUGUGUGUGAGUGUGUGUGUGUGUGUGUGUGUGUGUGUAGGUGGCAUGUGCCCUGCAUGCACACACACAUGUCUGCUCAGUAAUGUCAUUAAUAACCCUGGGUAUGAAGGCCUUCAGAGGAAUUGUCCAGAUGAUGCUUGAACGCCGUAUAUACGCGAAUGCCUGGAAGUGUGUGUGUGUGUUUGUGUGCGAGUGUGUGCGCGCUCUGCCGGGAUGGCACAACCCAUCAGCUUGUAUCCCUGGUGGUGGCAGAGCGGUUUUGGCAAAAGGUUCAGUCUCCUGAGUCUGGAAAACCAAGUGAGUGAGUGAGUAAGUAAAAGGAUUAGUGAUUGGGUGAGUGAAGGAGUGAGAGAGUAAGAGAAUGAGUGAGUAAGUAAAGGAGUUAGUGAUUGGGUGAGUGAAGGAGUGAGAGAGUAAGAGAAUGAGUGAGUAAGUAAAGGAGUUAGUGAUUGGGUGAGUGAAGGAGUGAGAGAGUAAGAGAAUGAGUGAGUAAGUAAAGGAGUUAGUGAUUGGGUGAGUGAGAGAGUGAGUAAGAGAAUGAGUGAGUAAGUGAAGGAGUUAGUGAUUGGGUGAGUGAAGGAGUGAGAGAGCGAGUAAGAGGAUGAGUGAGAUAAGUAAAGGAGUUAGUGAUUGGGUGAGUGAAGGAGUGAGAGAGUAAGAGAAUGAGUGAGAGAGUAAAGGAGUUAGUGAUUGGGUGAGUGAAGGAGUGAGAGAGUUAGUAAGAGAAUGAGUGAGUAAAGGAGUUAGUGAUUGGGUGAGUGAAGGAGUGAGAGAGAGAGUAAGAGAAUGAGUGAGUAAAGGAGUUAGUGAUUGGGUGAGUGAAGGAGAGAGUAGGAGAAUGGGUGAGUGAUCUUUUGUGCUUUGUAUUUCUAUGUGAGAAAUGAUCUGCAGAGAACGAGAUCAUUUUGUGUCGUUAGCAGAGCAGCUGGUGGAUCGAUGGAAUGAAUCCAGGACAUCGUUAGAACCCAGAAGCCGACUUUGAUGUAUUUGUUACAUGAAUUGGUGUGUAAGUUCUGCCUAAAGACACAAAAUAAGUGAUCAGUAUUCUGCAGACAUCUGGUGCUCAUCAGCUCAUUUAAUCUACAUAUGUCCUUCAUUCAUUAAUAAUAGAAUAUGAAUUAUAUUUCUUAUUUGUAUAAUUUCUGGGGCUUAAUUGUUAGAUCUUUUUUCAACUCAUUUAACCAUUUAAAUUGUUUCAACAUCUUACAUAAAAGUCUUCUGUAUUUUUAAAAAUGUUUAUUCAUUUGUUAUAUUUUAUUAUUUUGCAGAGUCAACUUGCACCUUUGUCUUGUUUGUUCCACAUUCAAUAACUGAAGCCUUCUAUCAAAUAUCUCAUUCAAAAUACAUUUAUCUUAAUUCGGACUUUAAAUAAAACCCAUUCGAACACCCAACGUUUAAGAUGCAGAUGAGGAUGCACGAGCUUACUGCAGGUCUCGGGCUGAAAGGUGGAGAUGCUGCCAGGUGACCGUUGGGACAGCGAGACGACACCUGGUGGACGGAUGAGGAAGGACAUAAUAUAUAUACCUAUAUAAUUUAUGUACAUGAAGGUAUUGUGCUCUUAAACAAACCUCUGCACUAUUGAUCGCGCGGAGAGGAACGUCAUUGUGACGUCACAGCUGAACGCGGUUCUCCGGUCAGCUCCGUUCUACCUCGUCCCAUGAGGCAAACUGGAUUAGGAUAAACUAAUACUGAUUCCCGUUCAGUGCUUAAAGGUCUCCGCAUGACGUUUAAUGCAAUUAUGGCACAAAGACAAACCCCCCCGAACAUAAUUGAGUUUUACUACAAAGAAGAAAAGAGGCUUUUAAUGUGGAUUGCACGUUGCAUUUAGCGCCAAUAAGAAGCUUUGUUUGUUAAAGGGUGAGUUCACUCAAAUUAUGAACACAUGUGUAUCUAUAUGUGUAUCUAUUGCCUCGGUAUUAUUCAGCCAUGUGCAGUGUUUUUAUUUUAGUUGUUCUUUGAACUAUUCUUAUUCCCACAUUUCCCAGUAUUUGUACUUCAUUGAUGCUUUAAAACGUUUCUCUUCUGCAGGAUU